GAUGAAGAACGUAGCGAAAUGCGAUAAGUAGUGUGAAUUGCAGAAUUCAGUGAAUCAUCGAAUCUUUGAACGCACAUUGCGCCCCUUGGUAUUCCAUGGGGCAUGCCUGUUCGAGCGUCAUUUGUACCUUCAAGCUUUGCUUGGUGUUGGGUGUUUGUCUCGCCUUUGCGUGUAGACUCGCCUUAAAAUAAUUGGCAGCCGGCGUAUUGAAUUCGGAGCGCAGUACAUCUCGCGCUUUGCACUCAUAACGACAGCGUCCAAAAGUACAUUUUACACUCUUGACCUCGGAUCAGGUAGGGAUACCCGCUGAACUUAAGCAUAUCAAUAAGCGGAGGA
Molecule: unclassified non-coding RNA, 336 nt
Filed under: soil metagenome
Description: partial contains 5.8S ribosomal RNA, internal transcribed spacer 2, and large subunit ribosomal RNA
Rfam family: 5.8S ribosomal RNA (bases 1-120)
Source: RNAcentral